GACGAACGCUGGCGGCGUGCUUAACACAUGCAAGUCGAGCGGUAAGGCCCUUUCGGGGGUACACGAGCGGCGAACGGGUGAGUAACACGUGGGUGACCUGCCCUCAGCUCUGGGAUAAGCCCGGGAAACUGGGUCUAAUACUGGAUAUGACUCCAUGACGCAUGUUGUGGGGUGGAAAGCCUUGUGCGGCUGAGGAUGGGCCCGCGGCCUAUCAGCUUGUUGGUGGGGGNGAU
RNAcentral lists this ribosomal RNA (233 nucleotides) under uncultured bacterium. RNAcentral describes it as "partial 16S ribosomal RNA". It matches the Rfam family "Bacterial small subunit ribosomal RNA", at positions 28 to 262 of the family's 1533-position model. The record is from RNAcentral.